UUGCUGUUAUGACGCGCUCCACUCUGUCUUCUGCGAAGGCGUCCCACUAGAUUUUGGGGCGUGGCCGUGGGGAUCUGCGUCCGUUCAGCUACGAGAGCGUCAGUGAGGUCGGGGUCAGGUGCUGAUGUUGAUGUGAGGACGCUCCGGUUCCAGUUCAUCCCGAAGGUGUUCAGCGGGGUUGAGGUCAGGACUCUGUGCAGGAGACGUUUACAGAGUGACGUCAAGUCAGCGUGGCUGCACACGGCGUGAGAAGCAAACAAAAGUAGCUUUUCUUUACGUUUAAAUGACAGUAUAUUGUAUACACUAGUAUGUGCUUUCGAUCCAGCGACAUACAUACAGUUCACUCGUUACAGUUAGCGGGCUGGCUUGUUGCUAACAAAAGACAAACACGGAAGCAUCCAUGUUUUUCCCACUUUGUAUGAAGAACAUACCAACGUUCAACAUUUUGUCAUUCCAACCUGCGAAUCAUCACUUACCAGGGCAGCAUUAGCCACUAAACUAAGAUACCUAAGCGCGUAAAUACAGUAGCGACACUAAUUAAUGGAAACGCAAUCAAGAAGACAUGUGACAAGGUCAUGUGAUCUGUAGUAUUCUGAUGAGACUGAUGGGUAAUGAAGUCCAGGGCAGCCAAAACCAGCGCUGAUCGUCUUUAAUCAGUGUAAAAGUUGUUCACGUUGAUAAAUCGCUGUGGUAUAAGGGGAAAGGAAACAUGUUGGGACGUGCAGUUUUUGGAAAACAGUUCAAGUCUCUGACCCCUUUGCUGUAAGGGGACGGUUUCCGAACCCGGCGAUGACACUGAGGGGGUGUUUUAAACUCCGGUAACACUGCAGGACCUGAUCAAGUGCAGCUCAUCGGACGGUACCGCAUCCGAGGCCCAGACAGCGUUCCUGAGAGAGAUUACGAAAUAACGAUCAGUUUACAGCGGUUUUUUAAACCCCUCACUAACCCGUUUAUUGGUCAAAUUAAAACCAAAAAAAUAAAGUACCGAAUACAGAAUAACGGACGUGAUGAACUUUAACGCCGAUUAUGGAAAACGCCAAAUUGUGUGCAGCCGAUAUGGAAAGCCGAGCGCCGCUACCGAGAAGGAAAACAAAACCGACCCGCAAACGCACAAACACGAAGGAACUGUUUAGGGCUAUAAAAAAAAAAAAAAAAAAAACGCUGCGGGGAAUAAAAGCCGAAAUAACAAAACUCCUUCCAAAAAAGAUUUCUGGAACGAUAGUGGAGACGUUAACGAGCUUAGAGGUGUGAGCCAGACUGAUUCACACGCUCACAAUGCUGAAAGAAAGUGUAACCACACCCAACACGCACACACACACACACACACACACACACAUGUGCGUUAAUUGCCUCACAGUUUAUGAACUUCCAAUGAACCCUGAUUUAAUCUAUAAAGAAGGUGUAUGAAUCUGAUUAUAAGGAACCGGGAGAAUCUCAUUAAUAGAAAACAUUUAAAAAAAAAAAAAAAAAAAAAAAAGGAAGCCUUAAGUCAUAUCACUCUGACUAUCAAGAACCCUUUAUGUUUGCGAUAGUUAAGAGUUUUCAGCUUCCGAAAAAGCACUGAGAGCCCACUGUGCUAGGGAGACAGUGCUUUAGAGGACAGAGAGAGAACAGAGAGAGACGCAAGAGAGAGACACUAGAGAGAGACACUGUAGUAAAUCGUUAAAGAGAGAGAGAGACACUAGAGAGAGACACUGUAGUAAAUCGUUAAAGAGAGAGAGAGACACUAGAGAGACACUGUAGUAAAUCACACUGUAGUAAAUCGUUAAAGAGAGAGAGAGACACUAAAGAGAAACACUGGAGAGAGAUUGUAGAGAAAGACACUACUGAGAGAGACACGAGAGACACUAGAGAGAGACAAUAGAAGAGACACAGAGAGGGAUACCAGAGAGAGACACACUAUAGAAGAUCAUUAAAAAGAGGGAGACACUAGAGGGAGUGAGGGAUAGUAGAUGAAGACACUAGGGAGAGAGACAUGACAGACACUAGAGAAAGGCACUAGAAGAGACACAGAGAGAGACACCAGAGAGAGAGACACACACACACACACUGUAGAAGAGAAAGACAAUAGGGAGGGAUAGUAGAGAGAGAGAAACACACUAUAGGAAAAAAGACACAAGAGAAAGACAAUAGAGAAAGACCCUAGAGAGCGGCCCAGAGAUACAGACAUAAGACACUAUGGAGAGACAGUAGAGAGAGUGACAUUAGAGAGAGAGAGACAGAGAGAGAAUGACCUGAGAAAGACACUAGAGGAAGACACAAAUAGAGAGAGACACUAGACAGAGACAAUGGAGAGAGAGACAGAUGGUGAGAGUAGAGAGAGCGAGACAUUAGAGAGAAAGACAGACAGACAGGGAGAGAUACACAGAGUGUGAGAGAGACAGACUGAGAGAGAAAGACAGAAAGAGAGUGAGAGAUAGCAAGACAGUUCC
This is a long non-coding RNA of Ictalurus punctatus (channel catfish), 2432 nucleotides long. NCBI's taxonomy places the organism in Eukaryota, Metazoa, Chordata, Actinopteri, Siluriformes, Ictaluridae. The record is from Ensembl.